UACGGAAGGCAGCAGUGGGGAAUAUUGCACAAUGGGCGAAAGCCUGAUGCAGCUAUGCCGCGUGUAUGAAGAAGGCCUUAGGGUUGUAAAGUACUUUCAUCGGGGAGGAAAAAACAAAACUAAUAAUUUUAUUUCUUGACGUUACCCGAAAAAGAAGCACCGGCUAACUCCGUGCCAGCAGCCGCGGUAAUACGGAGGGUGCUAGCGUUAAUCAGAAUUACUGGGCGUAAAGAGCACGUAGGUGGUUUUUUUAAAGUCAGAUGUGAAAUCCCUGGGCUUAACCUAGGAACUGCAUUUUGAAACUGAAAUACUAGAGUAUCGUAGAGGGAGGUAGAAUUCUAGGUGUAGCGGUGAAAUGCGUAGAUAUCUGGAGGAUACCUGUGGCGAAAGCGGCCUCCUAAACGAAUACUGACACUGAGGUGCGAAAGCGUGGGGAGCAAACAGGGAUUAGAUACC
RNAcentral lists this ribosomal RNA (456 nucleotides) under uncultured bacterium. RNAcentral describes it as "bacterial SSU rRNA". It matches the Rfam family "Bacterial small subunit ribosomal RNA", at positions 340 to 786 of the family's 1533-position model. The record is from RNAcentral.